GUAAGUAGGCCUCUCCAUCCUGAUAGCGAGGGAGGCCUCAUCGGGUUUGACCCCGGCAUGCUUUGACACCUUUUUCACUGUUGGAAGAUGCUCUGACUUUAAAGUAGAAAGCAGACUUGACUGAAGCUGAUUGACACAGGUCAAGGGGACUUCAAGGAAGAAAGCCAGCCUUAGACUGACAUCAGAGAACCAAACUCCGGUGUCUAAGCUCAAGUAAUACAAGUAAUUGGGAAGACACUGGCUCAGAGCCUGUCUCUGGUGACCACUGAAUUGUCCAGCACCUGAGGUCCCUGGAGCCCACGGACUGAGCCCAUCUGGGCUAAAAGAGGUCCCAUACAUCCUUCUCAAAGGCCUAUAUAAAUGCCAAGCAGAGUUAUAGCAGGAGGUUAGAAUCCUGAGAACUGUUUGGAAUAAGGAAUCCAAAUAUUGUCUUCCAGCUUCACCUUGUCACGACAGUCCUCGCCAGGGACAGCUGAGCCUUGCGUGGAUGAAACAGUCCCAACGAACACUUUAAAAAGACAAAUGUUCCCGACAGCACUGGUUGAAUUCAAAACUCGGCAGAUCCAUGUUCUUAUCCUUAGACAAGAGAGGGGCCAUAACAAGAUGGAAUGACGGAACAGACGUGAGAGAUGAUGGUACAGUGACUCGGGUAACCCCAGAAAAGGGACAGCUCUUCUACAGCUCAGUGGGGACAGGGACAAAAAGAAACAAUUUCAUUUCAGUCCACCCAGAGGGUCUGCACUUCUCGGAGCCAGAAGGUGGAGAAGAGUAGGGAUGGAGGAAGUUCGAAGUUUUAGGAGUCUGCUCUUGGGUCCCUAGGCAUGAGGACAAGCUUUUCCUGUACUCAAUGCUCAUCUCUCAGUUGUGCCCACAUUGGUACACAUUACUUGCUUUCAACUGCUGCUGCUGCUGUUUCCUAAUUCAAUAAAGAUAUGGCUGGCUCAGCAGAGAGCUGUCAUCCA
Molecule: long non-coding RNA, 962 nt
Filed under: Mus musculus (house mouse)
Lineage: Eukaryota; Metazoa; Chordata; Mammalia; Rodentia; Muridae
Description: predicted gene 29154
Source: RNAcentral